GACGCCGCGUGAGUGAUGAAGGCCUUCGGGUCGUAAAGCUCUGUCCUUGGGGAAGAAGCAGUGACGGUACCUGAGGAGGAAGCCCCGGCUAACUACGUGCCAGCAGCCGCGGUAAUACGUAGGGGGCGAGCGUUGUCCGGAAUUAUUGGGCGUAAAGGGUGCGUAGGCGGCCUGGCAAGUCCGAUGUGAAAGGCCACGGCUUACCCGUGGGGUUGCAUUGGAAACUGUAGGGCUUGAGUGCUGGAGAGGGUAGUGGAAUACCCAGUGUAGCGGUGAAAUGCGUAGAUAUUGGGUGGAACACCAGUGGCGAAGGCGACUGCCUGGACGGAAACUGACGCUGAGGCACGAAAGCUAGGGGAGCAAACAGGAUUAGAUACCCUGGUAGUCCUAGCCGUAAACGAUGGGUACUAGGUGUAGGGGGUUUCGAUACCUUCUGUGCCGCAGUUAACGCAAUAAGUACCCCGCCUGGGGAUUACGGUCGCAAGACUGAAACUCAAAGGAAUUGACGGGGGCCCGCACAAGCGGUGGAGCAUGUGGUUUAAUUCGAAGCAACGCGAAGAACCUUACCAGGGCUUGACAUCCCUUGAAAGUCUCAGAGAUGAGAUUUCUCUUCGGAGCAAGGAGACAGGUGGUGCAUGGUUGUCGUCAGCUCGUGUCGUGAGAUGUUGGGUUAAGUCCCGCAACGAGCGCAACCCUUACCUUUAGUUGCCAUCAUUAAGUUGGGCACUCUAGAGGGACUGCCGGUGAC
RNAcentral lists this ribosomal RNA (748 nucleotides) under anaerobic digester metagenome. RNAcentral describes it as "bacterial SSU rRNA". It matches the Rfam family "Bacterial small subunit ribosomal RNA", at positions 393 to 1159 of the family's 1533-position model. The record is from RNAcentral.